Molecule: ribosomal RNA, 253 nt
Filed under: uncultured bacterium
Lineage: Bacteria
Description: partial 16S ribosomal RNA
Rfam family: Bacterial small subunit ribosomal RNA
Source: RNAcentral
UACGGAGGGGGCAAGCGUUGUUCGGAAUUACUGGGCGUAAAGGGCGCGUAGGCGGCCUUCUAAGUCGAACGUGAAAUCCCUGGGCUCAACCCAGGAACUGCGUCCGAUACUGGAAGGCUUGAAUCCGGGAGAGGGAUGCGGAAUUCCAGGUGUAGCGGUGAAAUGCGUAGAUAUCUGGAGGAACACCGGUGGCGAAGGCGGCAUCCUGGACCGGCAUUGACGCUGAGGCGCGAAAGCCAGGGGAGCAAACGGG